Molecule: long non-coding RNA, 1412 nt
Filed under: Nicotiana benthamiana
Lineage: Eukaryota; Viridiplantae; Streptophyta; Magnoliopsida; Solanales; Solanaceae
Description: long non-coding RNA (NBEN_LNC035932)
Source: RNAcentral
ACCCAUUAAGAUAAUCGUAAUGACCCUACUAGACUCUUAUUUGAGACAAAAAUAAAUAAAAAGAUCCUAGGAACCACAACGCAAUUAGCCUAAAAUACACAUUUAGACCUAGACUAGACCUAUAUAAUAGGCGUAACACCUAAAAAGGGGAAUACACAAAAAUAUGCCUAGAAAAGGCCUAGGGAAAAAGCUAUAGCAGCUGCGACGCUAAUCUUCAGCCAAGGGACCCGACCCCCUGUUCUCCAUCUUCUUCAAGCAGCCAUUUUAAUGGCUGAUUCUUAACUAAAAGAAAUAACCAUCAGCGGCCGUUUUCAUCGAGAAACCCAGGCUCCUCACAAAAAGAACGAAAUUCCAAAAAAAAGCUUCAGCCGUGAUCUCCUUCUCCAUUAUACACCAACUGGCGAAGCCCACCAAAAAUCAAGUCCCUUCAUUGCCAUCGUCUUCACAAAACACACAUACAGAUGACCUCCCUCUUUAACCAACAACACCAGCCAUUCCUCCAUUUCUUCAGAGUUAUAAUUAAGAAAAGACAGAAGUUUCUGUUUCUUUCUCUUAGAUUUUGUUUCGAUUUUUGGUUUGAAGUGCAUGGAGUUCACUUUAGUUCGACACUGUGUUGUGUCCAGUGUGCGUGAAGAUCGCUGGUGAGGUUCGAGUCGGAGAAUCUGUGAUUGGGUUUCCUCUUGCCGUUAGUUUCUGUUCGGAGAUCUAGAGGUCGAUUUCUACUUCUCUUAGUUCUAUUUGAUGUUGUUUGGGAUCAUCUGCUUGUUUUAUACGAACUCAUUUGAAGUUAAUUCAACAAAUUAAUUUCCAUGGUUACUAGCUUGAUAGUUUACCUCUAAAGAUUGACUUGUCCCCGAAAGUUUCGUCCGGCUUUGUAGUAACUUUAGUUGAUGGAAUCAAAUCCGUGGUUUAAGCACAUUUAGAUGUAGUUAUGCUCGAACUGACUGAUGAUGUUUUCUUUGGAUUUCAAUGAAUCUAACGUUCCCCUAAUGAAACGUGGUUGGGAUUUAUUGCCUAUGAUUAUUUAAAACAUUGAAGGGAACUUGCACUUGAACGUAUAAAGGACAAAAAUCUAGUGGUGCAGAUGUCUUGUUUCAUUUUCAAGAGUAAGGAGAGAAUCUGAAACAUGUGUCCUCUCGAGUUCUUACUUCUCCCUUUCCCAAAAAUGCGUUCUUUGUAGAAUCAUUUUUUCAUUUCGAGACCAGGUAUAUGAUAGUUUCUUCCUUUCCUUUACUUAGCCGAGGGUCGAUUUGAAACAACCUCUCUGUCUUUUCGGGUAGGGAUAAAGCUCGUCUACAUAUUGCUCUUCCGGACCCCACUUUAUGGGACUAUACUGGAUAGUUGUUAUUGUAUAUGAUAGUUUCGUAUUUGUAAUUGGUCGAUGAUACACGCAUUUAGCCUUCAAAUUUCCU